GCGCAUACAUGCCGGUUUGUAUGGGCCGGCGUGCUUGCGUGUGUCUAGUGCGUACGUGUUUUGUGAGCGUGUUUCUGAGUGGGUCACUGUGUGUGCGUGCACGUGUUAGCGUGUCUGCCUGCAUGUAUGUGUGAUUGUUUGUGUUUAUCAAUGUGCGCUUGCGUGCCUUUGUGUCUGCGCUUUGAGAGUGCGUAUAUUUGUGUGCGCGCGAGUGCGUUUUGUGUGCGUGCGUAUGUAUUGCAUAAGGCCGGUGGAGUUUUACUCGCAAUAAAACUCCUCCAAUUUGGUGCAGCGAGUGUUGCCGCCUGAAAGCAGAGUUUGGUUUCAAGCCAACCUGGACAACUGCUGUACGAGGCGCUGUUUCUCAGGAGGAUCAGUGGGAAGGCGUCAGGUCAUGCAGAUGAUAGCAUCGAUUUCACAAUGCCCAGCCUUGGUGCCCUCCAUUAAGAGCAAGCCACUUGCGUUCGCCUUCAGGCAGAUGGUUGAUGUCUUCUAGGAAGCAGUUGGGAAGACUACAUUGAUGCAAGAUUCCAGCAAUGCCAUGCGCUGCAUUUAUUGGUCAAGAUGCUCAGAGAAUGGAGUCCCUGCACCUCGUGGUGAAACGUGAACAUUUUUUUUCUUUUGGAAAGCUAAACGUCAUUUGCUGUAUCAAUUGCAUUCUUGCAGCUCAGAUGUGUACUAUAUUUUUUCUAAUUUUGAAUCAAUUAAUAUUCACUGUUCAGUAUAAAAAUGACGUACAGUGUGAAGUACAAGG
Long non-coding RNA from Dermacentor andersoni, 754 nucleotides. RefSeq lists it as uncharacterized. The record is from RefSeq and is a predicted model, not a curated record. Lineage: Eukaryota; Metazoa; Arthropoda; Arachnida; Ixodida; Ixodidae.